GAUGAAGAACGCAGCGAAAUGCGAUAAGUAAUGUGAAUUGCAGAAUUCAGUGAAUCAUCGAAUCUUUGAACGCACAUUGCGCCCCCCAGUAUUCUGGCGGGCAUGCCUGUUCGAGCGUCAUUUCAACCAUCAAGCCCUGCUUGUGUUGGGGUCCUGCGGCUGCCCGCAGACCCUGAAAACCAGUGGCGGGCUCGCUAGUCACACCGAGCGCAGUAGCACAUCUCGCUCAGGGCGUGCGGCGGGCUCCAGCCGUUAAAGCACCCACCUUUCGCAAGGUUGACCUCGGAUCAGGUAGGAAUACCCGCUGAACUUAAGCAUAUCAAUAAGCGGAGGA
Molecule: unclassified non-coding RNA, 334 nt
Filed under: soil metagenome
Description: partial contains 5.8S ribosomal RNA, internal transcribed spacer 2, and large subunit ribosomal RNA
Rfam family: 5.8S ribosomal RNA (bases 1-120)
Source: RNAcentral